CUGUAAUAUCCUUGCCUGGGAAAGUCCCUGGACAGAGGAGCCUGGCAGGCUACAGUCCAUGGGGUUGCAAAAGGGUUGCAAAAGAGUAGGACUGACUUUCUGACUAAAGGAAAACAAGUCACAUUAUAUAUCAUCUGUUUACUAAAGGAACUCUGUCUUAAAGUAGAAAGAUAUUGGGUUGGUCAAAAGUUUCUUUAGUUUUUUAAGUAAAAAUAAAAGGCGUAUUUUGUAUUUCACCAAUCUUACUGUGUGACAUAUCAGACUUAUGAUGUUUUUCCUACGGACCACAUGGAAAUUAUAACCACUUGGAGAGAUGAGACACAUCUGGCUUUCAAGCGACCCAGGUUCAAGUUCUGAUGCUACUUAACUGUGGGCAAAAACCAAAUGAAGUGUUUACCGUUAUUAUCCCUAUUUGAUGAAGAGGAUACCGAGGCUCAAAGAGAAUUCAUAACUUGCCCAAGAUGGUCUAAUGUCAAGUAAUGAAGAGUGAAUGACCCCGCAGCACACAUACCAGCUGAGACCAACCUUGGAUUGGGGGAAAACUUCCAGAGGCCGAGCAGCAGCAGAAAUGUUUCUCUGUAUUGUGAGGCCGCAAGAUCACCCAGGGAGAGUGGGGCCAAAUAGGAUGAAACAUCUGACACACUGAAUGUAUGAGUUACUGGAAAAGCAGAGAUAAGCUAUGUAGAUUAGCAAUAUGGAAACAUCCUGAAACCACUUUGAAGUCUCCGUAAAUUGACUAGAUUCAAGUUUCACAGAUACGGAAACUGGUCCAUGGACAAUUUGCUACAGCUGAAGAACACAGUCUUGCUUGUCAACCACCAGUGUUCCGUGUGAGCAUAAUUCUGAAUCACAACUCAGAAGUGAGAACGGAAAGGAGAAGCCCUUCAUAAGGGUGGAUUCUUUACCCUCUGAGCCACCAGGGAAGCCCAUGAGCACCCCACCCCACCAAACCCCAGCAAAUCACCUUUGGCCCAAGCCUCCAGCAGGAAAGGAAAGAAUCAGCAGAAUACGGUAGAAAAUGUGAACUCAACAAAAUGUAGACGUGCUAUUUAGCAGCUGGAGGUGUGACUAAACAUGACAAGAUCUGUCAGCUGUGCCUACAGCGUCCAGUACAGUGGCUGCCAGCCUAUGUGGUCAUGGGUAUUGAGAUGGGCAGUCUGAGGAGAUAGGACCUGUACAUGUGAAAUACACAGUCUAUUUUAAACUUUAAGUAUGAUGAAUGCCAAAUAUUGCACUUGUGAUUUUUAUUACAUGUUGAUACCAUGUUUGGAGUAUUUUGAUUUAAAUAAAAUAUAUUAUUUAUUUAAUUUUAUCUAUUUCUGUUUAUAGUUUUUAACCUGGUUACUAAAAAGAAAUUAAAUACAUUUGUGCUUUACAUUAUAUUCUAUUAGACAACAUUUUUCUAGACUGGGAUCUUUUUUUUUUUAAUGUAAAGAUGUUAACUGUUUUAGACUUGUGUCUGUCACAGUUACUCAAAUCUACAUAAUGCACUAGCAUCAAUGGGCAAUAUGUCAACAAAUGAAUGUGGCUGUGUUCCAAUAAAGCUUUAUUUAUGGAUACGAAAUUGUAAAUGCUAUGCAUUAUCAUGUACUAUGAAAUAUUACUUUUUCUUUUUUUCUAACAAUUUUAAAAUGAAAUAGCUAUUCCUUGGCCUAUAAAAACAGGUUCCUCAUGGGCCAGAGUUUGCUAACCCUGUAUUUUAUUCUAUAUUUUACUCUGCAUUUAUUAUCUUUGGCCCUUACUAAAAUGACUUAAUUUAUACCCUUAUCUAAAAUUGUAAUGUUUAUAGCUUAAUUAUAAAGUCCCCUCUCAUCUGUCAAGAUGUUGGAAUUCCAAGUGACAUAGCAGGUAAAUAACUUCACAAUUUGAAUCAAAGAUAAAAUAGACCAAGAAUAAAAUAAGUUGAUUCUAAAAUAAGUAGUACAUUUCCUGAUGCUAGAAGUGUUUAAACAGAGGGAAGUUUCUAGAAAGGGAUUUUGUAGAAGAAAAUUAAAUGCUAAAUGUAUGGUUUAAUCAAAUAUGUAAUAACCCCUUUUCAAACACCAAACACAGAUUAUUUUAUUUCGUUGUUAUAUGUUAACUCAAUUUUAGUUGAAACGUUGUGGGAAAAAUGCAACAAGAUUUCAGAGUUCAGGUUCUAACUCCUAUCAUGGAAAUUUAUUAUAUUGUGAAGGUUUAGUAGGAAUCUCAGAUCUGAUGGCUUGCAUUGUUUUCAUUUUGGUAGUAGAAUUCAGUGAGGUUUUUAACACAAGGGGAUGAGAUUAUGUAGAGUAGAUUAAUACAAGUCUUUCUUUUAUCUAUCAAAGUAAUAUUAGUAAAUUAUCUGCAAUUUACUUGAACACAUAACCAAUGAUUUGAAAUAAGUUGAUAAUUAAUAUUUUAAGUUGUACUUUGAUAAAUACCCUCCCAAUGUUUUGAUCUUUUCUGACAAUUCCUAAUGCUCUUCAGCUGUUUUAAGUAUAGAAUAUAUGAUGCAAUUACACUGAGUUUACGUUUCUUGAGUUAAUAAAUUGGUCUUAAUCGCUAAUGGAUUCUUUAUACUGAUUGAAUUUGCAUGUUGAAUUGUUUUAAAUUGCCUGACCAUAUUUCAAGGUUAAAUACAAAAGUAUGUGGAGCUAUUAAUUUUGUGUUGCUGUUGUUGGUUUGAAUGAUUUAGGUACUUGAAGCUAGAGCAGGAAUUAAAUUAAUUUGUGCCUUCACCUUAGCCCAGCCUUUCUCUUUGUAUAAUGUAUCUGUGACAUUUGUCUUCAUUCCGAGAGAAGAUGAGGAAAACUCAGAACGAAUGACCAGUUCUCAUUAAACUGAUGAUUUUGAGGGGGAUUUCCUUUGAUUCCAUGUAAUGAUACAUUACCUUCCCAAAGAAUGAAUUUAGCAAUGAGAAAUCUAAAUCUGAAUGUAUACCAACCCAAAUCAAUCAAAUCUUCCUAACGAUUUCAAGGGCAAAAAGGACAAUAGCAUAUCCUGCAGCUGCUGACAAAGAAAUCAACUUGUCUGGUGCUUGGGUCUCAUGUGUGAGGAACAAAUAUUUCCAGCAGAUGCUGUGCUUUCUCAAAUCCACAUGAGCUGGACAUUUACAACU
Bubalus bubalis (water buffalo) is the source of this 3079-nucleotide long non-coding RNA. RefSeq lists it as uncharacterized. The record is from RefSeq and is a predicted model, not a curated record. NCBI's taxonomy places the organism in Eukaryota, Metazoa, Chordata, Mammalia, Artiodactyla, Bovidae. The transcript has 7 exons.